RNAcentral lists this transfer RNA (77 nucleotides) under Parafrankia colletiae. Its description in RNAcentral is "Frankia sp. Cc1.17 tRNA-Phe". Lineage: Bacteria; Bacillati; Actinomycetota; Actinomycetes; Frankiales; Frankiaceae. The record is from RNAcentral.
GAGAACUGAGCUGCGGCUGACCGACCUUCCGCCUGAAAAGCGGAAGGUCGGCGGUUCGACCCCGCCCCUGCCCACCA